GAUGAACGCUGGCGGCGUGCCUAAUACAUGCAAGUCGAGCGGACUGACGAGAAACUUUCUUCUCUUAUGUUCGCGGCGGACGGGUGAGUAACACGUAGAUAACCUUCCUGUAAGACUGGGGUAACUUCGGGAAAACGGAGCUAAUACCCGCUAAUGUUUUUCACCGCAUGGUUCAAAAGUUAAAGGCGGUCUUGCUGUCACUUAUCGAUUGAUCCGCGCUGCAUUAGCUAGUUGGUAAGGUAACGGCUUACCAAGGCAACGAUGCAUAGCCGACCUGAGAGGGUGAUCGGCCACACUGGAACUGAGACACGGUCCAGACUCCUACGGGAGGCAGCAGUAGGGAAUCUUCCGCAAUGGGGGAAAGUCUGACGGAGCAACGCCGCGUGAGUGAUGAAGGUCUUCGGAUCGUAAAACUCUGUUAUUAGGGAAGAACAUAUGUGUAAGUAACUGUGCACAGCUUGACGGUACCUAAUCAGAAAGCCACGGCUAACUACGUG
Molecule: ribosomal RNA, 497 nt
Filed under: uncultured bacterium
Lineage: Bacteria
Description: partial 16S ribosomal RNA
Rfam family: Bacterial small subunit ribosomal RNA
Source: RNAcentral